CGAGUGCUCGCGAUGACGGAGAGGGCGCUCGUGCUUCGGGUGAGUAGUCCAGCGGAGACCGGAGCUCGCCACAACUUCUAUUUCCCCUCCACCCCCCUUUCAUUUGCAAUUAUUUACAAAACAAUAACAAUAAUGACAUCCGUUCGUCUGUCGCGAAACGGCACAGAAAUCCUCGCACGAGGAUCUGCAAAGCAUCCACACACUGGUCUACUCCAUUGAUUUCUGAAGUGGAUGCCGAAAUGCUGACUUGCCUUUUAUGGCCAGAUAUAUGGUUUAAGAGCUAGCAAUCUCAGCACUAGGAGGUCAGUUUGGGUAGAAAAAAUAG
This is a long non-coding RNA of Ictalurus punctatus (channel catfish), 325 nucleotides long. The record is from Ensembl. Lineage: Eukaryota; Metazoa; Chordata; Actinopteri; Siluriformes; Ictaluridae.